Molecule: ribosomal RNA, 460 nt
Filed under: uncultured bacterium
Lineage: Bacteria
Description: partial 16S ribosomal RNA
Rfam family: Bacterial small subunit ribosomal RNA
Source: RNAcentral
CCUACGGGAGGCAGCAGUGAGGAAUAUUGGUCAAUGGACGAGAGUCUGAACCAGCCAAGUAGCGUGAAGGAUGACUGCCCUAUGGGUUGUAAACUUCUUUUAUAUGGGAAUAAAAUGUUCCACGUGUGGGAUUUUGUAUGUACCCUAUGAAUAAGGAUCGACUAACUCCGUGCCAGCAGCCGCGGUAAUACGGAGGAUCCGAGUGUUAUCCGGAUUUAUUGGGUUUAAAGGGAGCGUAGGUGGAUUGUUAAGUCAGUUGUGAAAGUUUGCGGCUCAACCGUAAAAUUGCAGUUGAAACUGGCAGUCUUGAGUACAGUAGAGGUGGGCGGAAUUCGUGGUGUAGCGGUGAAAUGCUUAGAUAUCACGAAGAACUCCGAUUGCGAAGGCAGUUCACUGGACUGCAACUGACACUGAGGCUCGAAAGUGUGGGUAUCAAACAGGAUUAGAUACCCUUGUAGUC